RNAcentral lists this ribosomal RNA (468 nucleotides) under uncultured bacterium. Its description in RNAcentral is "partial 16S ribosomal RNA". It matches the Rfam family "Bacterial small subunit ribosomal RNA", at positions 28 to 507 of the family's 1533-position model. The record is from RNAcentral.
GACGAACGCUGGCGGCGUGCUUAACACAUGCAAGUCGAACGGAAAGGCCCUGCUUUUGUGGGGUGCUCGAGUGGCGAACGGGUGAGUAACACGUGAGUAACCUGCCCUUGACUUUGGGAUAACUUCAGGAAACUGGGGCUAAUACCGGAUAGGAGCUCCUGCUGCAUGGUGGGGGUUGGAAAGUUUCGGCGGUUGGGGAUGGACUCGCGGCUUAUCAGCUUGUUGGUGGGGUAGUGGCUUACCAAGGCUUUGACGGGUAGCCGGCCUGAGAGGGUGACCGGCCACAUUGGGACUGAGAUACGGCCCAGACUCCUACGGGAGGCAGCAGUGGGGAAUAUUACACAAUGGGCGGAAGCCUGAUGCAGCAACGCCGCGUGCGGGAUGACGGCCUUCGGGUUGUAAACCGCUUUCGCCUGUGACGAAGCGUGAGUGACGGUAAUGGGUCAAGAAGCACCGGCUAACUACGUG